This 1901-nucleotide long non-coding RNA is filed under the name Gouania willdenowi (blunt-snouted clingfish). RNAcentral's name for it is "lncRNA (ENSGWIG00000007439.1)". Lineage: Eukaryota; Metazoa; Chordata; Actinopteri; Blenniiformes; Gobiesocidae. The record is from RNAcentral.
AAGCACGUCUAUGAAAUGGCGGGAGUGUUUGGUCACGUGUUGUAUCUCUCUGAUGUUUGCGUUCAAUUGAUUUAAAAAAAAAAAAAAAAACUUGCGCAGUCGCUCCGCGCAGCCGCCAGCUGGGCUGAGGUUGACGGCGCAGCCAUUUCUGCCUCAGAAGGAGAAAAAAAGCCACGCAGCACUCAGUGAGUGUGGUUUAUUCAUCAUGGAGUUGACUGGGUCACCACUCUGUAGCAGCUGGAGCUAUGGCGAACAGACACGAUGUUUUUAAACUGGCGGAGAGCGGUAAACUUUGGACGGAAUCAUCGCCUGCGCAGACAAAACCAGCCCCGGCUUCUCCGCCUGUGCAGCACCACCUCCUCCUCUUCCUCCUCCUCCUCCUCUCUGCUAUCACCGCCUCACAGACAUGGAGGAGAACCUGCCUGGAGGAAGCAGCCACGGAGAGCUGCUACAUGUGAAGACUGAGGCCGUGGAGGAGAAGCCAUCUGCGUCUGCGCCCUGCGGAGAGUCCGCCUGCUUUGGAGCAGAACAGACAGUAGAGGAGCUACACACUGUACACACUGGAUCUACCACUACACCUGUGCUGCUGUAUCCUGUGGGUUCAGACCGGUUUUUCACUGCAUCAGGAGAUGGGAAAACCUACCUGACGAUAGCUCCAGCAUCAGUGAUGCCUCCCGUCCUAUCAGAGAAGACUCUUUCCGCCGGCUCAGAUUUCUCCUCUAAAGCCGUUUUGUGUCUGAUCGAGGCCGUCGGGCGCCGCUGGGGUCUCUAUGAAACCCGGGAGAGGUCGCAGCUGUUUCAGAGUGUACAGGAAGAGAUGGCCUCCAAAGGACACCUACUUCCUGUUGAGAAGAUCCGUCGGAAGUGGAACAACCUGAUUGUGACGUACAAAAGAGUGAAGGACCGCAGCCGGGAGACGGGACACGCCAAGACGUCCUGGGAGUUCUUUGAAUUAAUGGACGCUACGCUCUGCAGCACCAUUGGAAGUCAGAUCAUCAACAACAAAAGAAAUAAAAGUCUCAGCACGGUUUCAUCUCCGACCCUCCCCCUACCAAAGAUCACUGUCAAAUCUCCGCUGCAGACCCCCGUCGUCCGUCCUAAGGAAGAUGCUGCGUCCUCUGGCUGUGUAGAGUCAGCAGGUCAGGGUCCGCCCCAAUGUCAGAUUCUUAGUAGCUCUGCUCCCAGCACCUCAGUGGCUUCUCCAACCAUCAGUACAGCCACUGCUGCAGAGUUCAAGCCUCUGGUGCUCGUCAAUGGAGAAAUUGCCACCAGUUCUUUUCACUCGACCUCCAUGGCACCAGCGUCUUCUUUCAUCUCCUCACCUUGUUUUACAGACACACCUUCUACGUCUUCCUUUCUCGGCUCCAAUAGCAAUGCAGAUUUCCACACGUUGGGUUACACAAGCUGUAAAGCUCACUCCUUCACAUCAGGUGUCACACCUUACCGACUCAGUGUGGCCCCACCCACCCACAAUCAGAGUCUGCACUCUCUCUCCUCAGUGCCCUCCAUCAGCCCCUGCCUCAGUCCAUGUGGAGCCCCCUCGGCAUCUGUAACAAGUUUGUUGGAAAGUGAAGUUCUGAGCCAAAAGGAGAACAAUCAGGAGAGCAGUCCUGCUUUGUUCCAGAAGAAGCUGAAAGGGCAGGAGGAGCAGGCCUAUUUAGAGCGUAUGGCUCAACGCAGAGCUGAAGCCAGGGAGAAGAGGCGUGAGAGGAGGGAGGUGCGUAUGUCAGAGUCACUGGGGAGGAUAGCCACGGCCCUGGAGCUGCUGUCCUCCAAACAGGACACAGUUAUCGCCCUUCUGCAGAGACUGGCCGAUAGGAAGUGAGCGCCAAAGUCAAACACAGGAAAGGAAAAGAGUUCCUUCUGUAAUGAUUUGAAUAAAAAAACAAUUUACCAGAGCA